Homo sapiens (human) is the source of this 3106-nucleotide long non-coding RNA. Lineage: Eukaryota; Metazoa; Chordata; Mammalia; Primates; Hominidae. The record is from Ensembl.
AGCCCCUGUUCCCACAGCAUUAAAGUGGAGAUGACAGAGUCCCUCCUGGAGAGCCGGUCUAGCCAUUCAGUGAGUCAGCAGCACAGCUCCUCCAGCACGCAGAGAACAGCGGUCCAUGGAGGGAGGGCGUGAGCCUGGGGUUUUACUGAGGAAGGAUAGUGGGUUUUUCAGUCCCUGAAGCUGCUGCUCUGCCCACUCAGGAAGGUGAGGAAGGCAGACGACAGCGUACAUCCAGCCUCUGCUCUGCCAGGGUCGUUGAUGCCCUUUGGAAUGGAGAGCUGUGAAGGGGAAUGCCUAGGCCUCACAGAGGAGGCUCGUGACCCGGACAGGUGUGGGACUAGGGGCCAUGUCUGUAGCUCCCCUGCCACGGAGCAGAAUCUGCCUCUCCAUAAGCGUUAAGCUCUGGGGACUGUGACAUCCACGCUGGGCCUGGCUCCUGCCUUCCGCCUCCUGCCCAGCCCCUGCCAGCAGCACAUGGUGGAGACCGGUUGCCCAAAGCUCUUGUUCUCAGAUGUGGGCAGAACGGGAAUCUGCCAUGUGCCCGUGGAUUAAAAAAAAGAAACCCAGGCUGCUUUUCUGUCUGUUAGAAGGAGCCUGCACUUCAAGAUAGUGGGGAUGUAUAUUUUAAAAAAUUUCACGCUCAUGGGCCAAAGAUUUUCCCGGGGCUGUGUGCUGAUUUGCAGCCUAUCAUGUGUGGCUUUGGGACACUGGGGAAGGUGUGGAGCAGUUUAAGUGACAAACGGGUUGGAAAAGCAAAGGACACCAGGUGAGGAUGAUGGAAUUUACAUCCUGUUGCUUCCCUGAUAGUUCCUGCCAAUAUGGGAUCCCACUACUAUCUUUCUGCCCUAAAAAUAUGUGUAUAUUGAGAUAGAAACUGUUGUAAUGGCUGCAUGCAUUCAGUAGAGGAAAGGAGAGAAGAAAGAAGGAACAGAUUUAGUCCUGCCCAGAAUCUGCACUUCCACGGAGGACGCCAGGAUAUCACGGGAGAGACUGCAGCUCUGAUCAAAUGGGGCGAGCUCUUGGCAGGAGCCAGCAUGUUCCUGUGUUCCAUUUGGGAGGACAGUUUACUUUAAUGAUGUACUUUGAAAUCAGGUGGACGUCUGUAACUCCUGGACCUUUCGCAGCCUUUCCAGCCACGGUCAUCUCUGUGGAGUCAGGGGCAGGGACUUUGGGAUCAGCUUCUGCCCUUGUGAAAACAGCAGAGCAGCCUGAGAGCCAGGAAGGACCUCACCUGAGUAUCAGAUCACCUCAUCAGGCUGAAUUGUGUGGAUCUAGGGAUUUUAAAGAGGUGAUUAAGGUAAAAUGAGGUUAUUAGGGUGGCCCUUGACCCAGUGUGACUGGUAUCCUCAUAAGAGGAGAUUAGGACACAGCCACACAGAGGGACGACCACCUGAGGAUCCCUGAGAAGAUGGCAUCUGGAAGGUGAGGAGAGAGGCCUCAGAAGGAAUCAACUCUGCUGAUACUUGAUGCCAACUUCCAGCCUCUGAAACUGCGAGCAAGCUCUGGGUAUGGUCACAUUCCACUUGAGGAACCUUCUCGCCUUGGACUCAGCUGCUGUGUUGGGAGAAGGCUGGGAACAGAGAAAGGCAACAUGAACAGACAUGGUCAACAGGCUCAUGGAACCUCACUCUUGAGUCAUCUUGGCUCAGCCACUAGAUAGGAGUCAAGAAACACCAGAAAAUUCCAGGUUCUGGCCAUCUGAGUUCUUUUGAGAGUUUUGGACAUUGAGGAAUAGAGGCUGACAACCACUGUUGUACCCAGUCCAAAUCCUUGACCUAUGGGAUCCACAAGCUUAAUACAUUGGUGGUUGUUUCUCUCUGCUUUUUUCAGGGUGGUUUGUUAUUCAGCAAUGGAUAAUUAGAGCACUGACUCACCUUGAUGGGCCUCAUCAUCAUUCAUCCAGAAAUCUUUUAUUGAGAAAAAUAAUAUUUGCCAUGUUGUGCAAGGAGUUGGGGUUGCAAAGCUGGGUGCUGUGAUCUAUAACACAAGGCAGCAGGAUUGUCUGACCUCCGAGAGCCAUGUGCCCUGGGAUCAUCUGGCCACAGUUAUCUCACAGAAUUCCUAAUGCACAGUCUGUGUGGGAGGUGAUGCCGGAGUCCCCCCUCCCUCUGGGCUCCUCCCCGUGCUCUGCUCACAUCACUGGGGGGUUGGCGGCAGCCUGCUGAGUCCUUUCGACCCUCAGCCCGCUCUCCAGCACUCAGACUGGCCGAAACCUGUGCCGCUGGCUCCACCCUCAGGUCUCCCCACUCCUCUCAUUAGCCACCGGCCUUCUCAGCCUUCUCUUAUUCUUGUGACUCUUGCCUGACCCUGCCUCAGCUCUGUGUCCUCCCAGACUGCUGACUGUGAGGCUUUGCCCAGCGGAUUUUCCAUCGCCAAAUUAGAGCUUUUCUUUCCUCGCCUGACUGCUCCCUGUCACUGUCUUCUGUAUCUUCCUGUUCCUGAUUUUGGCUGGCUAUCAAGAGAAGAAGAUCUACAAUCAUCCUAUCUCUCAUGGCACCUUACCAUGUGCAACUCCCUCGUAUCUAAUACCUCACUUCACCUUUUCUGUUCUUCUAUUUAUGAGCUACGUGAUGUCAGACAAGGCACUUAACUACUCUGGGCUUUGGCUCCCUUAUUUAACGAUAGGUAUCAUAAUAAUACCUGUCCUGUCCAAUUUACAGUUUGUCUGACAGUUAUUCAUUUAACAAACAUGCAUUGGGUUCCUACUGAGUGCUGGGUGAUGUAUCCAGCAUUGCUAAGACAACGGCCGUGAGAACAGCAAGCAUGCCUGGGUUUUGCAUUCUAGUGGGACGUCUUAAUCUAUUUUCUGCUAAAACAUAAUACCACAAACUAGGCAGUUGAUGAAGAAGAUACAUUUACUUCUUGCAGUUGAAGAGGCUGGGAAGUCCAAGGGCAUGGCACUGGCAUCUGGGUCAUCCCAUGGUGGAAGGUGGAAGGUGGAAGGGCAGGGACUAAGAAGAGCACCAGGUGCCAGACUCACUUUGUAACAACCCACUGUCAUAAUAACUAACCUGACCUCACAACCCAGUCACCUCCCAACAAAGUUGCAUUGGGAUUGAAUUUAUAACACAAGAACUUUUGGGGGGCAAAUUCAAGCCAGGCAUGG